CAUGGAGAAGUGGUUUCCGGGGGCCUGAGCUGAGUUGGUCACAGGAGUGGACGUUCAGGUGAGGCCCUCUCCAUUCAUGGCACAGAGCAGUGAAGCCAUUUCCACGCCCUAGCUGCUCCUGGGUUUCUACUGUUGCGAUACCUGAACCGGCCUGGAGACAAGGAUAUGCCAAUGCACCUCAGGAUGCAAAGGGCUUUUGUCGCUCUGAGUUCUAAGUUCACGCCCCGCACUAUUCCUCGCCCUGGGGAUACAACAGGGAUCCAAGCCCUCCCUGCCCUCAUGGAGCUUACACUCUAGACCGAGGGAUAGACAGCCAGCAGGCAGCUCCAAGCCCCAAAGAACGUGUAGGUUUGUGAAGUGAUUCUGAGCAGCGUCCGUGACUGUCCUGCCAUCAGAUUUGCAGAAGAUAAACAGAUAGAAGGAAGCGACUCCUCCCUCCUAUUAAAAAUAAAUAAGAUUUUAAAUUUCUUUUUAAGAGAGCGCUCCUCUCUUCUCUGAAA
Long non-coding RNA from Suricata suricatta (meerkat), 500 nucleotides. RefSeq lists it as uncharacterized. The transcript is spliced from 4 exons. NCBI's taxonomy places the organism in Eukaryota, Metazoa, Chordata, Mammalia, Carnivora, Herpestidae. The record is from RefSeq and is a predicted model, not a curated record.